This 433-nucleotide ribosomal RNA is filed under the name uncultured bacterium. Its description in RNAcentral is "bacterial SSU rRNA". It matches the Rfam family "Bacterial small subunit ribosomal RNA", at positions 29 to 507 of the family's 1533-position model. The record is from RNAcentral.
AACGAACGCUGGCGGCAGGCCUAACACAUGCAAGUCGAGCGAGCCCUUCGGGGUUAGCGGCGGACGGGUUAGUAACGCGUGGGAACGUGCCCUUUGCUACGGAAUAGUCCUGGGAAACUGGGGGUAAUACCGUAUGUGCCCUUCGGGGGAAAGAUUUAUCGGCAAAGGAUCGGCCCGCGUUGGAUUAGGUAGUUGGUGGGGUAAUGGCCUACCAAGCCGACGAUCCAUAGCUGGUUUGAGAGGAUGAUCAGCAACACUGGGACUGAGACACGGCCCAGACUCCUACGGGAGGCAGCAGUGGGGAAUCUUAGACAAUGGGGGAAACCCUGAUCUAGCCAUGCCGCGUGGACGAUGAAGGCCUUAGGGUUGUAAAGUCCUUUCAGCUGGGAAGAUAAUGACGGUACCAGCAGAAGAAGCCCCGGCUAACUCCGUG